GGGCGGAUAGUUCAGUGGGAGAACGUCUGCUUGACGCGCAGAAGGUCGCUGGUUCGAUUCCAGCUCCGCCCA
This 72-nucleotide transfer RNA is filed under the name Ammonifex degensii KC4. It matches the Rfam family "tRNA". Rfam says of the family: Transfer RNA (tRNA) molecules are approximately 80 nucleotides in length. Their secondary structure includes four short double-helical elements and three loops (D, anti-codon, and T loops). Lineage: Bacteria; Bacillati; Bacillota; Clostridia; Thermoanaerobacterales; Thermoanaerobacteraceae. The record is from Rfam by way of RNAcentral.